UUCAUAUGAGUAGCACCCAGGCCUCUCUGGACUCACAAAGGGGAAACUAGGUUUAGGGCUGGGAGCACCCCGCCUCCCUUCAUGAGAAACCACGGAAACGAGGCACAUGACCCGGCCCCUUUAAGGCCACCCUGCACAUUCACUGACCUGCAGGGCCCUGUCCUCCCUCUCCCAGGCAGACACAACUCCUCCGGGUGGACAAGGACAGAGAAGACAGGGAGAGGUUGGCCAUGGGCCCCCAGCCCUCCACCCUCCUGGGCCUCGUGCUCUGUCUGGGCCAGAUGAUCCACACGCAGGAGGGGGUUCAGCCCAAGCCCUCCCUCAGGGCCGAGCCAGGCUCUGUGAUCCCCCGGGGACGGCCUGUGACCUUCGUGUGCCGGGGCCCAGCUGGGGCUGAGUUAUUCCGCCUGGAGAAGGAUGAAAGACGUGUACCCCCUUAUCAGAGAAGUGUGUCUCAAGAUGGUCGGCAGGGGAGAGAGGCCAGAUUCCAAAUCUGCGCGCUGUGAAUGAACACACUGCCGGGCGUUAUAGCUGCCUCUACAACCAAGGGUCCCACUGGUCUGAGCGCAGUGAGCCCCUGCAGCUGCAGGUGACAGAGGAGGACGUCUCCACUCGGCCCCCAGGCCCCGCCUCCCAGAACUACAGUGUGGAGAACAGCAUCAGCCUGAUUCUGGCGGGCGUGGUCCUGCUGAUCCUGGUGGCGAUUCUGGUGGAAGCUGGGCUCAGCCAGCGCAGGACCCCACAGCGAACACAGGAGUAACCACAAGGGAGCCCCUCCCCCCAGAGAAAGAGGACCCCAGGGCGCCAGCAGGGAGCUCCCUGAGUGCCCCAAGGCUCACGCUGGAGCCCAGGACACCCAGAUCUGCUCCCACUGUUUUUCAAGGACAAGAACACCCAGGCCCACGUGGGUUAGGAUGCUUGGCCUCAACCCCUCCUCUUCCUAGGACCCUAGAGAGGAGUCAGCCUGAUUGACCAGCAGGCAGACAAGGCAGGGUCCAGGGGAGACAAAGGCCGGUGGAGUGUAGGCAGAGCAGACCUAGCCACCUGAGCCAGCCUGACUGUGGAAGCCAGCCUCACAGAAAUAACAGGAUGAUUUUAUUAUAGACUCAGAAGGGAGGCAGGGGAACUAGGGAGGGGCUGCCACAAUCAGGUGAGCUGAGGCAGAGGGACCUAGAAGGUUCAGGUCUGCUUCUGGGCAACAACAAUGGAGAGGAUCCAUGAGGUGGCCACAGGGGGCGAUAGAGAGCAGGUUUGUAGCAAGUAUAUACCCCUAGACCCCAGCCUUCAGGGGCAACCAUGACUGAGCCUCUCCCCAUGUGGGAGUCUCAAUGUGCUUGCAAUAAAGUUUCCACACUUUGGCUUCAA
Molecule: RNA transcript, 1365 nt
Organism: Pipistrellus kuhlii (Kuhl's pipistrelle)
Lineage: Eukaryota; Metazoa; Chordata; Mammalia; Chiroptera; Vespertilionidae
Gene: LAIR2
Gene name: leukocyte associated immunoglobulin like receptor 2
Exons: 4
Source: RefSeq, a predicted model, not a curated record